RNAcentral lists this ribosomal RNA (243 nucleotides) under uncultured bacterium. RNAcentral's name for it is "partial 16S ribosomal RNA". It matches the Rfam family "Bacterial small subunit ribosomal RNA", at positions 534 to 776 of the family's 1533-position model. The record is from RNAcentral.
UCAAGCGUUGUUCGGAUUCAUUGGGCGUAAAGGGUGCGUAGGCGGCGCGGUAUGUCGGGUGUGAAAUCUCGGAGCUUAACUCCGAAACUGCAUUCGAUACUGCCGUGCUUGAGGACUGGAGAGGAGACUGGAAUUUACGGUGUAGCGGUGAAAUGCGUAGAUAUCGUAAGGAAGACCAGUGGCGAAGGCGGGUCUCUGGACAGUUCCUGACGCUGAGGCACGAAGGUCAGGGGAGCAAACGGG